CCUACGGGUGGCAGCAGUGGGGAAUAUUGGGCAAUGGGCGCAAGCCUGACCCAGCAACGCCGCGUGAAGGAAGAAGGCUUUCAGGUUGUAAACUUCUUUUCUCAGGGACGAAGCAAGUGACGGUACCUGAGGAAUAAGCCACGGCUAACUACGUGCCAGCAGCCGCGGUAAGACGUAGGUGGCAAGCGUUAUCCGGAUUUACUGGGUGUAAAGGGCGUGUCGGCGGGAAAGCAAGGCAGAUGUGAAAACCAUGGGCUCAACCUGUGGCCUGCAUUUGAAACUGUUUGUCUUGAGUACUGGAGAGGCAGACGGAAUUCCCAGUGUAGCGGUGAAAUGCGUAGAUAUUAGGAGGAACACCGGUGGCGAAGGCAGUCGGCUGGCCAGCAACUGACGCUGAGGCGCGAAAGCGUGGGGAGCAAACAGGAUUAGAUACCCGGGUAGUC
Molecule: ribosomal RNA, 443 nt
Filed under: uncultured bacterium
Lineage: Bacteria
Description: partial 16S ribosomal RNA
Rfam family: Bacterial small subunit ribosomal RNA
Source: RNAcentral